UGGGGAAUUUUGGACAAUGGGCGCAAGCCUGAUCCAGCCACGCCGCGUGUCUGAAGAAGGCCUUCGGGUUGUAAAGGACUUUUGUCAGGGAAGAAAAGGCUGUUGCUAAUACCGACAGCUGAUGACGGUACCUGAAGAAUAAGCACCGGCUAACUACGUGCCAGCAGCCGCGGUAAUACGUAGGGUGCGAGCGUUAAUCGGAAUUACUGGGCGUAAAGCGAGCGCAGACGGUUACUUAAGCAGGAUGUGAAAUCCCCGGGCUCAACCUGGGAACUGCGUUCUGAACUGGGUGACUAGAGUGUGUCAGAGGGAGGUAGAAUUCCACGUGUAGCAGUGAAAUGCGUAGAGAUGUGGAGGAAUACCGAUGGCGAAGGCAGCCUCCUGGGAUAACACUGACGCUCAUGCUCGAAAGCGUGGGUAGCAAACAGGAUUAGAUACCCUGGUAGUCCACGCCCUAAACGAUGUCAAUUAGCUGUUGGGCAACUUGAUUGCUUAGUAGCGUAGCUAACGCGUGAAAUUGACCGCCUGGGGAGUACGGUCGCAAGAUUA
This 549-nucleotide ribosomal RNA is filed under the name uncultured bacterium. Its description in RNAcentral is "bacterial SSU rRNA". It matches the Rfam family "Bacterial small subunit ribosomal RNA", at positions 355 to 896 of the family's 1533-position model. The record is from RNAcentral.